AGAAGAAUCACAGGGCAAUUUCUUCUUUGGCAGAGACAUGUGAUAAAUGUUUCUGCCAAGGAAGAGUUGCCCUGUCAUUCAACU
This is a non-coding RNA of Spinacia oleracea (spinach), 84 nucleotides long. NCBI's taxonomy places the organism in Eukaryota, Viridiplantae, Streptophyta, Magnoliopsida, Caryophyllales, Amaranthaceae. The record is from Rfam.